CGCGUAGGCGGUUCAGCAAGCGGUGUGUGAAAGCCCGGAGCUCAACUCCGGAAUUGCACCCCGAACUGCUGUUCUCGAGGACAGGAGGGGCAUGUGGAACUCUAGGUGUAGCGGUGAAAUGCGUAGAUAUCUAGAGGAACGCCGGUGGCGAAAGCGACAUGCUGGCCUGUAUCUGACGCUGAGGCGCGAAAGCGUGGGUAGCAAACA
RNAcentral lists this ribosomal RNA (207 nucleotides) under uncultured bacterium. RNAcentral's name for it is "partial 16S ribosomal RNA". It matches the Rfam family "Bacterial small subunit ribosomal RNA", at positions 568 to 774 of the family's 1533-position model. The record is from RNAcentral.